Molecule: unclassified non-coding RNA, 635 nt
Filed under: Melitaea cinxia (Glanville fritillary)
Lineage: Eukaryota; Metazoa; Arthropoda; Insecta; Lepidoptera; Nymphalidae
Description: misc RNA ENSMCXG00005016153.1
Source: RNAcentral
CUCCAUAAGUUUACGCCAAAAAUAGCGUGAACUCAUGUGUUUUGCCCAUAAUCACCACGCUGGGCAGGCGGGUUGGUGAUCGCAGUGCUGGCUUUGUCGCACCGAAGACGCUGCUGCCCGUCUUCGGCCUGUGUAUUUCGAAGCUAUUGUGUAUCUCAAAUUAGACAAAGUUAUUGGUUUCCAUCGCUAAAGUUGGCGAUGUCGGAGACAUUGUCUACGUUAGCUUUAGUGACACCUAAUCAAAUACACAUAUCUUCAUCGAAUUUUUAUCAUUGUAGCCGGAACUAGUUCAAUAUGGAACUAUUGUAAAAGGAAAAGUAAUUUUUCUAUGGAAAUUAUCUUCGAUGUUUCGUGGCGAUUUUAAGCUGAAAAUCUCCACAGCCGUCGAUUACUUCAUCGGAAUUUUGUCGUUGUAACUGGUAAGUUUGGUUUAGUUUUACGUGUUUACAUUUGUCUUGACUUCUUUGUUUUCUUUUACCAUUUCGGUGGCCUAAACCAAAGAAGUGUCUAAUUAUGAAAAAAUAAAGGUAUUAAUAUAAUUUUUAAAGUCUAGUUAACCGAGAAUUCAGAAAAAAAUAUGAAACAAAAGUUAUAGGCUCAGCUUGCAGCUACUUCAAAGUCCGCGACAUAAAAAA